This 305-nucleotide ribosomal RNA is filed under the name uncultured bacterium. Its description in RNAcentral is "partial 16S ribosomal RNA". It matches the Rfam family "Bacterial small subunit ribosomal RNA", at positions 506 to 807 of the family's 1533-position model. The record is from RNAcentral.
ACAGCAGCAGCCACGGGAAUACAGAGGGUGCGAGCGUUAAUCGGAUUUACUGGGCGUAAAGCGUGCGUAGGCGGCUUUUUAAGUCGGAUGUGAAAUCCCUGAGCUUAACUUAGGAAUUGCAUUCGAUACUGGGAAGCUAGAGUAUGGGAGAGGAUGGUAGAAUUCCAGGUGUAGCGGUGAAAUGCGUAGAGAUCUGGAGGAAUACCGAUGGCGAAGGCAGCCAUCUGGCCUAAUACUGACGCUGAGGUACGAAAGCAUGGGGAGCAAACAGGAUUAGAUACCCCAGUAGUCCCUGUCUCUUAUAC